ACCUUCACAAAGGGGAGCCAGUGGCUGAGAGUGGGGAAACCCAGACCCUUCGAACCUGUUCGUUAAUACGAGCGUAGGAAUUGUGGAAGUCGAAUUU
Molecule: regulatory RNA element, 97 nt
Rfam family: TPP riboswitch aptamer (THI element)
About the family: Vitamin B(1) in its active form thiamin pyrophosphate (TPP) is an essential coenzyme that is synthesised by coupling of pyrimidine and thiazole moieties in bacteria. The previously detected thiamin-regulatory element, thi box was extended, resulting in a new, highly conserved RNA secondary structure, the THI element, which is widely distributed in eubacteria and also occurs in some archaea.
Source: Rfam